UCUUCGGAGUUAGUGGCGGACGGGUGAGUAACACGUGGGAACGUGCCUUUAGGUUCGGAAUAACUCAGGGAAACUUGUGCUAAUACCGAAUGUGCCCUUCGGGGGAAAGAUUUAUCGCCUUUAGAGCGGCCCGCGUCUGAUUAGCUAGUUGGUGAGGUAAAGGCUCACCAAGGCGACGAUCAGUAGCUGGUCUGAGAGGAUGAUCAGCCACAUUGGGACUGAGACACGGCCCAAACUCCUACGGGAGGCAGCAGUGGGGAAUCUUGCGCAAUGGGCGAAAGCCUGACGCAGCCAUGCCGCGUGAAUGAUGAAGGUCUUAGGAUUGUAAAAUUCUUUCACCGGGGACGAUAAUGACGGUACCCGGAGAAGAAGCCCCGGCUAACUUCGUGCCAGC
This 394-nucleotide ribosomal RNA is filed under the name Brevundimonas sp. Its description in RNAcentral is "bacterial SSU rRNA". It matches the Rfam family "Bacterial small subunit ribosomal RNA", at positions 83 to 512 of the family's 1533-position model. Lineage: Bacteria; Pseudomonadati; Pseudomonadota; Alphaproteobacteria; Caulobacterales; Caulobacteraceae. The record is from RNAcentral.